ACACACACACACACACACACAUUAUGUCUUGUCAUUGAGCCUGGCUGCUUAAUUGCCUUUCAUUAUUUCAACCAGAAAAUGGCACCCAGUGGUGAUACUAGAAAAUUACUCUACUUAUCUCCAUAAAUAGGUGUUACACCAACACAUUUGUAUGAUAAGACAUGCUGAAAUUAAUGUUUGUAGUUCAAAUGGUACAUUGGCAUGGUUGACUAUGCAUUUGCAGCUCAUCUCAUCUAUUUUGUUUGUUUGUUUUCCUACAGGGGCCAGCUCCGGCUCUUUAGCAGGCAUCGUGAGUGCAAUUGCUGUGGCUGUAGUGGGAGCAGUCGUAGGAUACUUCACUUAUCAGAAGAAGAAACUGUGCUUCAAAAAUAGACAGGAACAAGAUCCAGAAGCUGCCCGCAAAGCUGAUCCAGAGGCUCAGUCCAAUCCGCAGGUCCUUAGCAACCUGCUGAACUCCUCCUAGACCAGCAAUGAUCACAUGACUGUCUGAACCAACUACAGGCAAGAAAAGUGGCAAUCUCACUGUCAGGCUCUAUGUUCUGUAGAGCUAAAUUACUGUGAGGCCCCAGACCGUGUGUGUGUGUGUGUGUGUGUGUGUGUGUGUGUGUGUGUGUGUGUAUAUGUGGGAAAUGAGUUGGCUAAGAAAAAGAAAGUAAAUAGAUGUGCAUGUUAGAGGUUUUAUGAUUGUUAAGAUGAUUGGUUAGACUUUCUUCUUUGAACCAAAUCCUACAACUAGACAAGUGGACAUUAAAGAGAUUAAAUCUCAAAUUAAGUGUGACACUGAGAAGGCUAUCGAGUUCUAGUAAUUCAGUAUGGAUAUAAACCAGUGACAGAUAUUGGUGUUGUAAACGUUUAACUUUGUACUGAAUUCUUACAAGUGGAUUUUUUUUAAUUGUCUGAAAAAUCCACUAGUAAGCAGUCACUUAAGUAAAAUAUAUUUUUCUUUUUCAGUGUAAAUGUGUGCAGUAUAAAGGCAGGAUAAAUGGAUAACAGGGGCUACAAUAACUACCACAGUGAUUUCUGGAUUCUGGCUAGGAAAACAGUAUAGGAUUCUAGGGAUGCUGUUACAUGGUCCAAUGUGUGUUGAGUGGGCCAUUGAUGUCACUGUGUGUGUGUGUGUGUGUGUGUGUGUGUGUGUGUGUGCGUGUGUGUUUUUUUUGACUGGUGAAGGGGCUUUGUUUUAAAUCAUGUUGGGUGACUUCCAUUCUUCUUUGUUCAAUAAAUGAACUGAGAGUGAAAUUUUCAAUUAAACACCAAAAAACAAACAAACAAACAAAUGAAACAAACCCACUGCACAUUGAUUCAAGUAUUCAAAAGAUGUCAAAUUAUGUGACAAUAUUAUCCCUUCACUUUUGAAUGCAUAUAUUUUCAAAUUUACUGAGUGGUGAUUUGAUUUGAAGUGAAGUCCAGCCCAACCCUGUUUCUGUCAACAGAUGAAUUUUCACUUGACAUGGACAUACUUCAAAAGCGGUCAUGUAGUAUUGUAUUAGACAUUGUUCUGAUGUAGUACGUGUCAGUCUAGUUGUGAUGCAGUAAAUUCUCCUCUAUAGUGCCUUUCACUGACACAGCCUGGCUUGGCCAAUCUACAGACACACAGGGAAGAGAGCUGAGACAUAAAAAGUGAAAACAGGCAAAAUAGUCGAUGAAUGUAUCACAAUAAAGACAAUUGAGGAAUGUAUGAUCUUAGUUGAUCCAUAAAUUAUCAUUUUGUGUAUAUGAAACUGUUACAUUAUUGUACAUUAUUCCAACUGCUACUGUAUAUCUGUUCACCGUGGGCCAGUUUGCUUUUAACAGCCUACAUUAAUUUCAGCUUUAAAACUCUCAUUGUGUGUCUUUUUAUUUGAGUAAGCCAGUUGCUGUCACAGUGUUUCUUUGUAUUGUUCAUAU
Micropterus salmoides (largemouth bass) is the source of this 1887-nucleotide long non-coding RNA. RefSeq lists it as uncharacterized. The transcript has 3 exons. The record is from RefSeq and is a predicted model, not a curated record. NCBI's taxonomy places the organism in Eukaryota, Metazoa, Chordata, Actinopteri, Centrarchiformes, Centrarchidae.